CACCAUGGCAGAGAAGUUUUUGACUGUCUCUACUGCAGGGACCCCUUGCAGAGGAAAAAGUAUGUGCAGAAGGGUGACCACCACUGCUGCCUGAAAUGCUUUGACAGGUUCUGUGCCAACACCUGCGUGGAAUGCUGCAAGCCCAUCCAUGUGGACUCCAAGGAGGUGCACUAUAAAAACUGCUCCUGGCAUGACCCCUGCUUCCACUGUGCCAAGUGCCUUCACCCCUUGCCAAUGAGACCUUUGUGGCCAAGGACAACAAGAUCCUGUGCAACAAGUUUGCCACUCAGGAGGACUCUCCCAAGUGUAAGGGGUGCUUCAAGGCCUUUGUGGCAGGAGAUCAAAAAUGGAGUACAAGGGGACCAUCUCGCACAAAGACCGCUUCACCUGUAGCAACUGCAAGCAAGUCAUGGGGACUGGAAGCUUCUUCUCUAAAGGGAAGGACUUCUACUGUGUGACUUGCCAUGAGACCAAGUUUGCUAAGCAUUGUGUGAAGUGCAACAAGGCCAUCGCAUCUUGGGGAGUCACUUACUAGGAUGAGCCCUGGCAUGCCGAGGGCUUUGUAUGUGUUACCUGCUCUAAGAAGCUGGCUGUGCAGCAUUUCACCACUGUGGAGGACCAGUAAUACUGUGUGGAUUGCUACAAGAACUUUGUGGCCAAGAAGUGUGCUGGAUGCAAGCACCCCAUCACUGGGUUUGGUAAAGGCUCCAGUGUGGUGGCCUAUGAAGGACAAUCCUGGCACGACUGCUGCUUCCACUGCAAAAAAUG
This 768-nucleotide long non-coding RNA is filed under the name Homo sapiens (human). RNAcentral's name for it is "non-protein coding lnc-LRRC31-1:8". Lineage: Eukaryota; Metazoa; Chordata; Mammalia; Primates; Hominidae. The record is from RNAcentral.